This 206-nucleotide ribosomal RNA is filed under the name uncultured bacterium. Its description in RNAcentral is "partial 16S ribosomal RNA". It matches the Rfam family "Bacterial small subunit ribosomal RNA", at positions 1296 to 1500 of the family's 1533-position model. The record is from RNAcentral.
GAUUGCAGGCUGCAACCCGCCCUGCAUGAAGUCGGAAUUGCUAGUAAUCGCGGAUCAGCAUGCCGCGGUGAACACGUUCCCGGGCCUUGUACACACCGCCCGUCACACCAUGGGAGCCGGUAAUACCCGAAGUCCAGUAGUCCAACCUCGUGAGGACGCUGCCGAAGGUAGGAUUGGCACGUGGGGUGAAGUCGUAACAAGGUACC